RNAcentral lists this long non-coding RNA (1325 nucleotides) under Nothobranchius furzeri (turquoise killifish). Its description in RNAcentral is "lncRNA (ENSNFUG00015019944.1)". Lineage: Eukaryota; Metazoa; Chordata; Actinopteri; Cyprinodontiformes; Nothobranchiidae. The record is from RNAcentral.
CCCCCCCCGCCGCCGCUUCCGGCGUACGACGUCAUCAACGACUAGUCGAAGUCGACUCGACUUUCAUUACUUGACUGUCGACUUUAAAAAAAAUAAAGUCGUGCAGGCCCUAGUCCAGACUGUGGUCCUACCGCCUCAUCUCGCUGCUGCUGGCGGUGCCGGUGUCCCUGGCAGCAGGACUCCUCUUCGCAGUGCUCAGCUGCCUUCACAUCUGGUGUGAAACAGUUCAGACUAGAAUAUUAAUGGGAGACAGGAUCAUUUUCUGAGAGUGAUAAUUAGAUUCUAUUUCAUGUAUUUUUUCACCCCCUGAGGGACUCUGUUAGUGAUGUUUUAAUGCUGUUUAUUCAAUUAGCUGAUGUUCUUCCCUCCCCCUUCUGUCCUUCCAGGCUAAUCAUGCCCUGCGUGCAGCUCCUUCUCAUCAACAUGUGAUGGAUUCACACGGUGAGGAGUGGAGGGGACAUCAGCUGCGAUGGAUUCGUAAUCAGGUGUCCUGGCAUAAAGGAAGGAUGGAGACACCACUUGACGCCGGAUGAUUGCUACAGUUUGGACAUCCUCUACUACCUCCACAACCUUCGCCGCCAGAGACCCCUGAACCCUCAGGACCACGUCCCAUCCUCCUCCACGGCACCUGUCCCAUCUCCUCUCCGCUGCCUCACCCACCUCGCUCACCAGGACCCCCUCCCUCGCUCACUUCGGCUCGCCACGAUCCCCUUCGGUCUCAGGAUCUCUACUCUGGACUAUUAUCUACAGUCAUCAACUCUCUGGACUUCCCAGUGCAUCUUCUUUUCCCGUUUUGUAAUAAAGAGACUUUAUUUUUACUCACCUCAGCAGUCGUGUUGAUUCUGUAUGUCUUGGGCUAAACGCCUCCCGCAAGUCAUGACAAGAAAUCCCUCUCUUGACGUGGUGGAAGGUUAUUUUUGGGUUAGGACACAAACAAAGACAGGAACUGGCAGUUUUAAAGCACAUCAGUAAUUAAGGUGAUGUUCAAGGAGACUUACACGAGUGGAAAACAGUCCUCCAGUCCAGCUGUUGAGUUCAGUUCCAGCUCAGAUGUUCACUUCCAGAAAAAUGACAGCUUGUUUGGUUGAAAUGGUUCCUUCUGAACCAGACAUCAGCUGAGACUGUGGCCAAAAGCAUCAGCACGCUGCUCCAUACAGCUGCAGUCAUAAGUGAUGCGUCCAGACAAACAGGAAGAUGUGACCAGUACUUUGCUUUACUAACCACGGUUUGUCCAAGUGUCUUUUAUUUCUGGAUCACAGACCAUUUUUCCUGAUGAGUAAAAUCAUAACUAUUCCUUACAGACUGUGUGUGUGCAUCAUUUGCAG